Molecule: ribosomal RNA, 701 nt
Filed under: Escherichia coli
Lineage: Bacteria; Pseudomonadati; Pseudomonadota; Gammaproteobacteria; Enterobacterales; Enterobacteriaceae
Description: bacterial SSU rRNA
Rfam family: Bacterial small subunit ribosomal RNA
Source: RNAcentral
GUCGAACGGUAACAGGAAGCAGCUUGCUGCUUUGCUGACGAGUGGCGGACGGGUGAGUAAUGUCUGGGAAACUGCCUGAUGGAGGGGGAUAACUACUGGAAACGGUAGCUAAUACCGCAUAACGUCGCAAGACCAAAGAGGGGGACCUUCGGGCCUCUUGCCAUCGGAUGUGCCCAGAUGGGAUUAGCUUGUUGGUGGGGUAACGGCUCACCAAGGCGACGAUCCCUAGCUGGUCUGAGAGGAUGACCAGCCACACUGGAACUGAGACACGGUCCAGACUCCUACGGGAGGCAGCAGUGGGGAAUAUUGCACAAUGGGCGCAAGCCUGAUGCAGCCAUGCCGCGUGUAUGAAGAAGGCCUUCGGGUUGUAAAGUACUUUCAGCGGGGAGGAAGGGAGUAAAGUUAAUACCUUUGCUCAUUGACGUUACCCGCAGAAGAAGCACCGGCUAACUCCGUGCCAGCAGCCGCGGUAAUACGGAGGGUGCAAGCGUUAAUCGGAAUUACUGGGCGUAAAGCGCACGCAGGCGGUUUGUUAAGUCAGAUGUGAAAUCCCCGGGCUCAACCUGGGAACUGCAUCUGAUACUGGCAAGCUUGAGUCUCGUAGAGGGGGGUAGAAUUCCAGGUGUAGCGGUGAAAUGCGUAGAGAUCUGGAGGAAUACCGGUGGCGAAGGCGGCCCCCUGGACGAAGACUGACGCUCAGG